This 160-nucleotide unclassified non-coding RNA is filed under the name uncultured fungus. RNAcentral describes it as "sequence contains ITS1, 5.8S rRNA gene". The record is from RNAcentral. Lineage: Eukaryota; Fungi.
CAGGAGGUUUAUCCCCUACACCACCGCGAACUUACCGAAACGUUGCCUCGGCGGGCGCUCCGGCGCCGGGCUCCCAGGCCCGGCCCGGGGCGCUGUGCCCGCCGGCGGCCCGCUACUCUGCCUCUGCGUGUUGCAUCUCCGAGUAUCGUACAAUGAGUCA